UACAGAGGGUGCGAGCGUUAAUCGGAAUUACUGGGCGUAAAGGGCGCGUAGGCGGUUAGAUAAGUUAGAUGUGAAAUCCCCGGGCUUAACCUGGGAACGGCAUUUAAUACUGUCUGGCUAGAGUAGAAUAGAGGGAAGUGGAAUUUCCAGUGUAGAGGUGAAAUUCGUAGAUAUUGGGAAGAACACCGGUGGCGAAGGCGGCGACCUGGUCCUUGACUGACGCUGAGACGCGAAAGCGUGGGGAGCGAACCGG
Molecule: ribosomal RNA, 253 nt
Filed under: uncultured bacterium
Lineage: Bacteria
Description: partial 16S ribosomal RNA
Rfam family: Bacterial small subunit ribosomal RNA
Source: RNAcentral